GCAGUCACUCAGAUCGUCACUAGAGCUGCUUCCAUUUUCAGUGCUACAUUGUCUUCAGCACCUACAUUCAGCGUCUCCAAGCUCUGCAUGGAGACAUUGAAUGCUCCCUAAAGAAAUGCGUUCAUUCAAUGCAUCUCUAUGAGGCGUUGCUGAUUGGCGCAGUGCUUUGUCAUGCAUGAGCAAUGGCCUCCCAAUGCUUUUUUG
Molecule: non-coding RNA, 204 nt
Organism: Pelobates cultripes (western spadefoot toad)
Lineage: Eukaryota; Metazoa; Chordata; Amphibia; Anura; Pelobatidae
Source: the annotation of a GenBank genome assembly